RNAcentral lists this long non-coding RNA (2815 nucleotides) under Nicotiana benthamiana. RNAcentral's name for it is "long non-coding RNA (NBEN_LNC006227)". Lineage: Eukaryota; Viridiplantae; Streptophyta; Magnoliopsida; Solanales; Solanaceae. The record is from RNAcentral.
CAAGCCGAUAGGCGAAGGGCUGAAGGAUGGAACGUGCAAAGUAGAUCGUGCACCUGUCGUGUGACCCGUUGGUCCUAAGCAAUGUCUUGCGCGAAGCGACCCACUUAGAAAAAGCUCCCCUUUAUGUUAGGGGAGCACUAAAAUGCAACUUCGAUCGGAUGCGGGUAUCAAAUCCCGCCGCUGAGAUGUCCAGCGGAUUCCUGGGCCUUGACGAAUGGCCGGCCACCUUUUACGUUAUAAGAGCAAAAGGCCCAGGGCAUAGCAGGAUGAACCAAUGUGAAUGAGUGUAAGCUUCGUUGCCCGAACACGAUUGGUGCUGACCACACUAGGUGCUACCGUGGUAGCAAGAGAGGUCAGGCGGUGACAAUUGAGAGGUUGUCACUGAGCAUUCCUAGUCACACGGGAAAAGAGGUCAAAUGGCAAGGCCAUACGCCCGUUUGGCUCCUCGCGGAGUAUAGCUCACAUCCAAACAUCUGAUUGGGGAACGGGGCAACGCCCAUGAGGCUCCGGCAGAAAGGGAAGGCCUGCCAGGCCGUAUGCCCAUGGGUGCAUGAUUUUUCGAAAAAGCGCGGGCUGAAUCGGAGACCUGGGACCUUGGCUUAGUAAUGAAUGAAGGGAAGCUCUUCGAGCUUUCUCCGCCAGCGGCUUAUGUAGUGGUCGGCCUUAUAAAGCUCGCUAAGCCUCGCUUCCCUCUCCCCUUCACUUAUUAAUUAAGUGGAAAAUAGUCGUCGGCAUUCUAUAAGCGACUUGACCGAGUCUACGAAGCUUUGCUUUUCUUGUAGUCGGCCCGUAAUGCCUCCCUUCAUUUGCUUGCCUCCUUUCAGCUCAGAAUGCCUAAUGCCUAUUAUUUAAGAAGCUAACCGCCAUAAGCUCACCCUUCGGGUCUCGCUUCCAGCGCAGGAGGCCAAGCAUUCUGCCAGACGUCCCGGCCUGGGACCAUUAGCUCACCCUUCGGGUCUCACUUCCAAUGCAGGAGGCCAAGCAUUCUGCCAGACGUCCGGCCUGGGAUCCCCGUUCGCCCUUGGUACUUCAGUAGAUCUUCUAAAUAAAAAGCGCUACUUCAGCCUUAACUACAACUACAUUACGCAAGCCCCGCCGGUACCUACCUAUAGAGUCAAAUUAAAAUAAAAAAGUACCAGUGACGGGGACUUUCUAGGUUUAUGGAUUCAGUCAGCUAUACUCCAUCAAACUCAUCAAUCAAUAUCAACAAGAUGUCGUGACCGCUUAGGCUUGGUUUACUUUGGUUUGAAUGUAAACUAAAAUAAGCGGCGUUUAAACAAAGGGAACCGAAGGUUUCCUUGUUUAGUAGUAUGAAAGUAGUUCUACUAUUACGAUGUUUAAUAUUAAUAAGAAAUAUUCAGUGUUGUAGCUGUAGAACAGAAUGCCGUUCGCCUUUACUUUGACUUUCUGAGAAGGACUUAAGUAGCUAAGUUUCCAAAGGUGAACACCCCCCUGUCCUUUAUAGUAUAGUCGUAAAGGGCUUCUCAGAAAAGUCAGGAAGAAGGCAUUCGAAAGGCCGACCACUAUCUCAUAGGCAUUCUGGUGGUAAAACCGACGACUACACGGCUCUAUACCAAGUCAUGAGCGAUAGCGAAGCCAAGCCGCCGUCUAUAGGCGAAGGGACGAAAGCCCGACGAAGGCCUAUGCUACAGUAAGAAAAAAAGUACGUUGAGGUUACGAAGUCACUUAGCCGUAUACUAUACAAAGGGAAAGGCGUCGGUAUAAGUAGCUAAGUUUCCGAAGGUGAACACCCCCUGUCCUUUAUAGCAUAGUCGUAAAGGGCUUCUCAGAAAAGUCAGGAAGAAGGCAUUCGAAAGGCCGACCACUAUCUCAUAGGCAUUCUGGUGGUUAAACCAACGACUACACGGCUCUAUGCCAAGUCAUGAGCGAUAGCGAAGCCAAGCCGUCGUCAAUAGGCGAAGGGACGAAAGCCCGACGAAGGCCUAUGCUACAGUAAGAAAAAAAGUACGUUGAGGUUACGAAGUCACUUAGCCGUAUACUAUACAAAGGGAAAGGCGUCGGUACAGAGUCACGUCAGCUAUUGAUAUAGACUAGGCUAUUAGGAACGGAGUCAACAACUAUGAACCGAGACUACACUAAGGAAAAGGAAGCUUGACUGAGAAAAGAAGUCAAGGAACGAAGCUGCUCCCCUAAUUAGCCCCGUUGAAUGGGCGAAGGCUUUUUGAAAAAUUUGUUUUUGUCUUGUAAAUGCAUUUUUUUUCUAUUUAGAGAGAGGGGGCUUCAAGUUCUUAGGAAGAGCCGUACGAGACAGCUCACGUACGGUUCGGGAGCCGAGCCCCCGCGCAGGGGCUUAGGUCAACACUUAUAUAAUAGCCAGUCAUCAAUUGGAAGCGGGCAAGAUGGUGAUGAAUUGCGAUUGGUCUAAACCUUCGACUAGCGACUUAUUGCGACCUGCCCAGAAUGCCCAUACAGACUAAGACCUUAUUCACACAGCGAAGAAAGGCCGAGUGUAUACUUAUAUAAUAGCCAGCCAUCAAUUGGAAGCGGGCAAGAUGGUGAUGAAUUGUGAUUGGUCUAAACCUUCGACUAGCGACUUAUUGCGACCUGCCCAGAAUGCCCAUACAGACUAAGACCUUAUUCACACAGCGAAGAAAGGCCGAGUGGAAGGGGGCAGGCAGCUGGCUGCUUCUUUGCCAUGCGCUUUGCUUCGCUUUAUUUUAUAGAAGAAAGAGACCAAAUGAGAGUGAAAGGCAAGGGCAAGCGAUAGAAAGGAGAGUCCCUCGCGCGAACUACUACUACUAGAAAAUGGUGAGACCAUUAGUGAAAGAAGGACCAAGGAGGAUCCUAUCCUAAA